RNAcentral lists this transfer RNA (82 nucleotides) under Echinostoma caproni. It matches the Rfam family "tRNA". From Rfam's summary of the family: Transfer RNA (tRNA) molecules are approximately 80 nucleotides in length. Their secondary structure includes four short double-helical elements and three loops (D, anti-codon, and T loops). Further hydrogen bonds mediate the characteristic L-shaped molecular structure. tRNAs have two regions of fundamental functional importance: the anti-codon, which is responsible for specific mRNA codon recognition, and the 3' end, to which the tRNAs corresponding amino acid is attached (by aminoacyl-tRNA synthetases). tRNAs cope with the degeneracy of the genetic code in two manners: having more than one tRNA (with a specific anti-codon) for a particular amino acid; and 'wobble' base-pairing, i.e. permitting non-standard base-pairing at the 3rd anti-codon position. The record is from Rfam by way of RNAcentral. Lineage: Eukaryota; Metazoa; Platyhelminthes; Trematoda; Plagiorchiida; Echinostomatidae.
GGCCUCACAGCUCAGCUGAUAGAGCGUGCGCGUGUAAAGCGUAUGCGGCUUCCAUGCGUGGGUUCGAAUCUCAUCGAGGCUA